AACGCAACACCCAAAAAGGUUUAUGGAAAGGGGUUAGAAUUGUUUCUGUAGAUGGUAUUAUAUUUAUGUAGUCCGGUCUGAGUUCAUCUCCUUCCCUCUUCCCCUGUCCAUAACCAACGACGACAUGGAUUGGUCGGUACGGUUUCUGAAAAUCAGUUUCAACCGACCAAUGAGCGCAGAGGAAGAAUGAUAUUUAUUACGCGGCGGUGAUUUGACCUACAUCUUCCGUGCGAGUCGCAAAUCGUCUCGGGCACACCGUGAGGCUCUCACUGCUGCUCGCGACUCUCGCAGGAGCCCGGAAGAUGUCCACUAGGUGAAGCACGGCAGCCAGGGGGUGUGUAGUAUGGGAAUGGCUCCUCUGGGCUGAGGCUGCUUAAACCAGCCACCAGCCACACUCCGCCACAGAUACGAGCACCACAGCGGUGAACAGGCCCAGCUCCUCCGGGCUGAGUUCCAGUGAUGCUAGCUUGUGGCUGAAGUCAAACAUGGCCCCCAGCAGCUCGCCCAUCCCCAUGGCCCGCAGGUCCUCCAGCCCAUAGGUGGUGCCGGAGAUAAACGUCACCGUCUGUUCUCUCACGUUGAACAUCGAAGCAAAGCGCACCAUUAGCACCUGAGGAAGGAACAACAAAAACCAUCAAAUUGAGUUCAGGGUUUACUGGGAGAUUAGGAAUAAGGAAAUCAGGGAGCAAUAGAAAAUGGCCUUAAUUAGCAAUUGAUUUGUGUGCUAUACGUUGAGAUACAUUCCUAAUUCUUUCUUAUACUCAAUACAACAGUAGGUUACAUACAUCAUUAUUAUGCUGACUGAAAAUAUGUAUUAAAGGCUAC
This is a long non-coding RNA of Gadus chalcogrammus (walleye pollock), 825 nucleotides long. RefSeq lists it as uncharacterized. The transcript has 3 exons. Lineage: Eukaryota; Metazoa; Chordata; Actinopteri; Gadiformes; Gadidae. The record is from RefSeq and is a predicted model, not a curated record.